RNAcentral lists this transfer RNA (47 nucleotides) under Parachtes romandiolae. RNAcentral's name for it is "tRNA-Ala". The record is from RNAcentral. Lineage: Eukaryota; Metazoa; Arthropoda; Arachnida; Araneae; Dysderidae.
AGAGGUUGUACGAAGCUAAUUUGCAUUUAGUUAAAGGAUAAUUUUAU